UACAGAGGGCGCGAGCGUUGUCCGGAAUCACUGGGCGUAAAGGGCGCGUAGGUGGCCUCCAUAAGGCCGUGGUGAAAGUCUGGGGCUCAACCCCGGAUCGGCCGCGGCGACUGUGGGGCUCGGGCACUGUAGAGGCAGAUGGAAUUCCGGGUGUAGCGGUGGAAUGCGUAGAGAUCCGGAAGAACACCAGUGGCGAAGGCGGUCGUGCUGGGGCAGUGGGAGCCGCAAGGUUCCUUAUAGCCGACACUGAGGCGCGACAGCGGUGGGGAGCAAACCGG
Molecule: ribosomal RNA, 278 nt
Filed under: uncultured bacterium
Lineage: Bacteria
Description: partial 16S ribosomal RNA
Rfam family: Bacterial small subunit ribosomal RNA
Source: RNAcentral